GCCCUUGAGUUUGAUCCUGGCUCAGGAUGAACGCUAGCGGGAGGCUUAACACAUGCAAGUCGAGGGGCAGCACGGGAUAGCAAUAUUCUGGUGGCGACCGGCGCACGGGUGAGUAACACGUAUGCAACCUACCUCGUACAGGGGGAUAACCCGGAGAAAUUCGGACUAAUAUCCCAUAAUGAUAUUGAGAGGCAUCUUUUAAUAUUUAAAGCUCAGGCGGUACGGGAUGGGCAUGCGGAACAUUAGCUAGUUGGCAGGGUAACGGCCUACCAAGGCUGCGAUGUUUAGGGGACCUGAGAGGGUUAUCCCCCACACUGGUACUGAGACACGGACCAGACUCCUACGGGAGGCAGCAGUGAGGAAUAUUGGUCAAUGGGCGCAAGCCUGAACCAGCCAUCCCGCGUGAAGGAAGAAGGCGCUAUGCGUUGUAAACUUCUUUUCCAGGGGGAGAAUUUUUCCGUCGUGACGGGAAUUGACGGUACUCUGGGAAUAAGCAUCGGCUAACUCCGUGCCAGCAGCCGCGGUAAUACGGAGGAUGCGAGCGUUAUCCGGAUUUAUUGGGUUUAAAGGGUGCGUAGGCGGAUAGAUAAGUCAGUGGUGAAAUUCUGCAGCUUAACUGUAGACUUGCCGUUGAUACUGUCAGUCUUGAGUAUGGUCAAGGCAGGCGGAAUGUGUAAUGUAGCGGUGAAAUGCUUAGAUAUUACACAGAACACCGAUUGCGAAGGCAGCUUGCUGGGCCAUUACUGACGCUGAUGCACGAAAGCGUGGGGAUCGAACAGGAUUAGAUACCCUGGUAGUCCACGCCGUAAACGAUGAUCACUCGCUGUUGGCGAUACACAGUCAGCGGCUAAGCAAAAGCAUUAAGUGAUC
This 870-nucleotide ribosomal RNA is filed under the name uncultured bacterium. RNAcentral describes it as "bacterial SSU rRNA". It matches the Rfam family "Bacterial small subunit ribosomal RNA", at positions 1 to 869 of the family's 1533-position model. The record is from RNAcentral.